Molecule: long non-coding RNA, 2409 nt
Organism: Brassica napus (rape)
Lineage: Eukaryota; Viridiplantae; Streptophyta; Magnoliopsida; Brassicales; Brassicaceae
Exons: 2
Source: RefSeq, a predicted model, not a curated record
UUUAUAUGUUAUAUAUUGUUUUGAUUUUUGGAUUUUGAAAAAUUAAGUGUAUAUGAAUUUAAAUUAUUUUAAAUAUAAUUUAAACGGGUGAUAAUCUGAAUUAAGCUGCAAAAAUUCAAACCAAAUUCAAACUAAAAUUUAUAAAUACCCGAAUAGAGCUUAAAUAUUUAAUCUCAAAAACUCUAUAAUUGAAUAGACAUGUGAACCGAAUUUGAACGUCAACCCCUAAUUUUAACGAAAGGACUUAGAAUUAAAAAUUAUUUCACAAAUAAUAAUAAAUUGUAAAGAAUAUAAUUAUAUAUACAAAAUAAAAAUAAAUACAACAAUUUUUUUUUGAUAUAUUUUCAUAAAGAUAAUUGUUUUUGAAAAUCAAUUGUAUUUUGAUAUUUAAAAAAAAGAGUAAAGAUGUUACUAAUACAGACUUAUUACAAAGUUAAUAUCUUAACAAUUCCAGCUUAAACCGCGGAUUUUACCUAGUCUUCAUUAUCUUGUUAAUAAAAACACAGAUUGAAGUAAACCCCCUUUAAUUUACUUGGUUGGAUCAAAUAAACAUAAAACUUUAUAUAUCGUAUCAAGAUGCAAACGUUGUCUUGUUCAAGUAAGGUCGUUCAUUUCGAUUUCGCAUCUUUGAUCAGGCCUAUUUGUAGAUAAAAAAGAGAAGUUCGAACAAAGAAACCUCGGCUGAGGUGCCCACUAUCACGACUUCGAGCCCCGGCCACAGCGAAUUUAACAUCCCUUCCGUUGGGGCGCUGGACCCCCUACGGGGGAUAGUUGGGAAUGUGGCUGCCCAGAUACCAGAGUUACAAAAAAAAAAAAAAAAAAAGAUGCAAACGUUGUAUCUACAAAUAGGCCUGAUCAAAGAUGCGAAAUCGAAAUGAAGUUUGCUUCACAAAAACAAAACUCAAUAAAAACAUAGGAGUUGAGAGAAACAAAUGAAUUAUGUAUAUUGCUUCACAAAAAAGCUCAAUGAAACAAAUGAACAAAAAAAAAAACAUAAAGUCUUGCUGCUUGCCUUUGUUAAUCUUCAGGUAUCUUCAACCUGAGAAUGGAACGGAAAGCUUGGAAACGUAGUCGUGAUAUCCCUACAAAGCACACACAAAACAAGAUCAAGACCUUUAUCUAUUACAUAUCAUCAAAAGGAAACUAAAUAGGCAAUGAUGUUGCAUAGAUUCAAACCCGGUUACAUAAAUAGAAAAAUCACUUGAGAUACUGAAGAGUCAUGUUCUUGAGAAGGCUGGGAUGUCUAUAAACAAGGCUUCUCCAAUCUUCCUUAUCGAUCUUUCCAUCAUGUUUUGUGUCUGCUUCCUCAAAGGUCUGAACAAUCAAAACUCAAGACAUCACUUUCAACCAAAGACAUUGUGCGAAGAGAAAUAUGAAAAGUAAAAAACUUAACCUUGUCGAUUAUAUCCUCAAUGACAGUAUCCUUCAAGUUCAUUCCAAAUUCAGCAAGCGUAGCGACAACCAUCGGAAAAUAGAACUGUAUCAACACAGAGCAAGGCGCGGGUCAUCGCCUUGCUUCACCGAUUUACUCAUAUUCGCCGUGGUCAACCUCCGAAUUAGACGGCUAGGCGACCGCAUUUUCGAAAAGGUUUAUAAUAAUGAAGGCCCUAAUAACAAUGUGUCACACGUCCGGUUUGUAGAGCAUGUGUCAGUCAUGUGCUGUAUUAUACGCCACUGUUUUAAUCGUUAUUUUAUUUAACCGCUAAAGAAGCUUCGAUUAAACCGGGAACCACCAUUUUGUAAUAGGGUUUUUAACAUUAUAAGACACUUUUCAACAUUUUAUACACCUUAGAACACUUUGUGCUACUAAAGUACGUAGUUUAUGUUGUUAAAAAGACUAAAGUGUCCUCAACUUAAGUCUUCUCUUGUUGUUGCACGUGAAUCUGAAAAUAAAUUCAGUUUGUCAUUCUCUCUCACGUCCUAUCUCAUCUUCUCUCUAUUCUUCUGUUCUAAACAAACAAUAAAGCUUUCUUUUUUUUCCACGGGUCAAUCCUUCCUAACCGUGAAAAAACAUGAAUAUGACGACAAAGAAGAUGUUGGCUUCCGACGGCCGGGGUCGGAGUUUUUUCAAAAUCCCGUUCGAAGAUUUUUUUUCUGGUAGGUCGGUUCACAAUCAGCACCCAACACCUUCCCCUCCAAAUAUAAGUUGCAUAACUUCUACCUACAAAACACCGAUUAAAGUUUGAUACUUCAGAGAAACUCUUUUUCUUUUGUUACUACUUUUGUUUCAAGAGGAGCAUGGGAAGAAAGUGAAGAUAAGCAUGUGAAAGGUGAAUGGGUGGGCUACACACAGAGUUGCGACCAUUUACUUAUCGAAAGUAUACAUAUGUACACAUAUCAAUCGGUACACGUGUACAUUGUUGUAAUUUAAUGCACAUGUACGCCAUUAUUUACGCAGUCCACAAAAUU